AUUGAACGCUGGCGGCAUGCCUUACACAUGCAAGUCGAACGGCAGCACGGGAGCAAUCCUGGUGGCGAGUGGCGAACGGGUGAGUAAUAUAUCGGAACGUGCCCAGUCGUGGGGGAGUAACGUAGCGAAAGACUACGCUAAUACCGCAUACGAUCUAUGGAUGAAAGACGGGGGAGUCGCAAGACCUCGCGCGAUUGGAGCGGCCGAUAUCAGAUUAGGUAGUUGGUGGGGUAAAGGACCUACCAAGCUUCGAUCUGUAGCUGGUCUGAGAGGACGACCAGCCACACUGGAACUGAGACACGGUCCAGACUCCUACGGGAGGCAGCAGUGGGGAAUUUUGG
This 341-nucleotide ribosomal RNA is filed under the name uncultured bacterium. Its description in RNAcentral is "bacterial SSU rRNA". It matches the Rfam family "Bacterial small subunit ribosomal RNA", at positions 30 to 367 of the family's 1533-position model. The record is from RNAcentral.